UGUGUGUUGGUUGAGAGUGCAUGCUUAAUUUUCAUACAUAAAUCUGAUGCUAGGAUAUAAGGGAGUUUCACCUAAUCGUUAUGAACUUAUAUCCACAAGUAGUGAAGGUUGCUCGUCACAACCGUGUUAAGUAAAUUCUUGGCAUAAGUUUCAUGCAAUUCAUAGUUACAAGUGCUUCGUUAAUGCUUAUGAUUUUCAUAGAAGUUAAUGAUUUAUGCUUGUAUCUCUAUUAUGCAAUUCAUGUAGGAAACUUGUGGGGAAUGUUUUGGGUUGUUGUAUGCAAUCAUCCAAUUUAAUGAAAUUAGGAAAAUCUGAGGGUUAAUUAAUGCAAUUCACAGUUAAUCUGGGGCGUUGAGAAUUCGUAGUUUAUUGAAAAGCAACUGGAAAUCGUUUUGUUUGCAAGUGUGUCAUGUGUGGAAAAGAACCUCCUAGCUAGCCUUCCAUCCAUUCAAUUUACUCAAAUUCGUCCAAAAAUCUGUUUUAUUUUACAACUUGUUUGUUUUGCUUUCAAAUUCAUCAAAAACCAAACCCCAUUUACUUUGUUGAGUCAUAUUAGUUAGAAACUUAUUUAGUUUGUGUUUUUAAGUGUUUUGAAUCAAGUUACAACCUAUUUUAGUCCAAUUUCACUCUUAGUGGCAGAUUUGAGUCUUUUAGCUUGUUUUGUGCUGUUUUGAGU
Molecule: long non-coding RNA, 676 nt
Filed under: Malus domestica (apple)
Lineage: Eukaryota; Viridiplantae; Streptophyta; Magnoliopsida; Rosales; Rosaceae
Description: long non-coding RNA (MDOM_LNC017310)
Source: RNAcentral